AUUGAACGCUGGCGGCAGGCCUAACACAUGCCAGUCGAGCGGAUGAAGGGAGCUUGCUCCUGGAUUCAGCGGCGGACGGGUGAGUAAUGCCUAGGAAUCUGCCUGGUAGUGGGGGAUAACGUCCGGAAACGGGCGCUAAUACCGCAUACGUCCUGAGGGAGAAAGUGGGGGAUCUUCGGACCUCACGCUAUCAGAUGAGCCUAGGUCGGAUUAGCUAGUUGGUGGGGUAAAGGCCUACCAAGGCGACGAUCCGUAACUGGUCUGAGAGGAUGAUCAGUCACACUGGAACUGAGACACGGUCCAGACUCCUACGGGAGGCAGCAGUGGGGAAUAUUGGACAAUGGGCGAGAGCCUGAUCCAGCCAUGCCGCGUGUGUGAAGAAGGUCUUCGGAUUGUAAAGCACUUUAAGUUGGGAGGAAGGGCAGUAAGUUAAUACCUUGCUGUUUUGACGUUACCAACAGAAUAAGCACCGGCUAACUUCGUG
RNAcentral lists this ribosomal RNA (484 nucleotides) under uncultured bacterium. Its description in RNAcentral is "partial 16S ribosomal RNA". It matches the Rfam family "Bacterial small subunit ribosomal RNA", at positions 30 to 507 of the family's 1533-position model. The record is from RNAcentral.